AUGUGUAUAGGUGCUGUAUACAUCUGUGUGUCUGUGCCUAUUGGAAACACAUGCUGCUUGUUGGCCAUGGGAGCACAAAUUUGCAGCUGCCUUUUCCAUGCUGUUGGGCUGCUGGAUUCAACAACAGAAACCAGUCUUACCAAAGUGAAGAGCCAAAUACAAGUGAAUUGGGGAACUACAGAAAUGGCCUUAGGGGCUCUUUAUUCACUGAUCAAAACAAUGUGUACAGGGUCAAUAACUAUUGCUGAUGAAAUGGAGUUUUGUAGCAGAUCCUCCUUUCCCCUUUGGAGCCCAGUACCCACAGCAACCUCCCAGCCUGGCACAGACCCUUGGUGGAUGUGGGUGCCAGAACCACUGAGGGGGCCUCCAGCUGCCUCACCCCACUCCAGCUGCACCCAUGGGAGGAAGCAGCCACGGAGGGAAGGAAGCAGAAGUACCUCCCCAUGCCACUCCUCCCCUCUGCUGCGGAGCUCCCGAGCACAGCAUGCACCAGGCUGA
RNAcentral lists this long non-coding RNA (498 nucleotides) under Cyanistes caeruleus (blue tit). RNAcentral's name for it is "lncRNA (ENSCCEG00000015086.1)". Lineage: Eukaryota; Metazoa; Chordata; Aves; Passeriformes; Paridae. The record is from RNAcentral.